This 497-nucleotide ribosomal RNA is filed under the name uncultured bacterium. Its description in RNAcentral is "partial 16S ribosomal RNA". It matches the Rfam family "Bacterial small subunit ribosomal RNA", at positions 28 to 507 of the family's 1533-position model. The record is from RNAcentral.
GAUGAACGCUGGCGGCGUGCCUAAUACAUGCAAGUCGAGCGAACAGACGAGGAGCUUGCUCCUCUGACGUUAGCGGCGGACGGGUGAGUAACACGUGGAUAACCUACCUAUAAGACUGGGAUAACUUCGGGAAACCGGAGCUAAUACCGGAUAAUAUAUUGAACCGCAUGGUUCAAUAGUGAAAGACGGUUUUGCUGUCACUUAUAGAUGGAUCCGCGCCGCAUUGGCUAGUUGGUAAGGUAACGGCUUACCAAGGCCACGAUGCGUAACCGACCUGAGAGGGUGAUCGGCCACACCGGAACCGGGACGAGGUCCAGACUCCUACGGGAGGCAGCAGUAGGGAAUCUUCCGCAAUGGGCGAAAGCUUGACGGAGGAAAGCCGCGGGAGUGAUGGAGGUCUUCGGAUCGUAAAACUCUGUUAUUAGGGAAGAACAAAUGGGUGAGUAACUAUGCACGGCUUGACGGUAACUAAUCAGAAAACCACGGCUAACUACGUG